GACGAACGCUGGCGGCGUGCUUAACACAUGCAAGUCGAACGGAAAGGCCCUGCUUUUGUGGGGUGCUCGAGUGGCGAACGGGUGAGUAACACGUGAGUAACCUGCCCUUGACUUUGGGAUAACUUCAGGAAACUGGGGCUAAUACCGGAUAGGAGCUCCUGCUGCAUGGUGGGGGUUGGAAAGUUUCGGCGGUUGGGGAUGGACUCGCGGCUUAUCAGCUUGUUGGUGGGGUAGUGGCUUACCAAGGCUUUGACGGGUAGCCGGCCUGAGAGGGUGACCGGCCACAUUGGGACUGAGAUACGGCCCAGACUCCUACGGGAGGCAGCAGUGGGGAAUAUUGCACAAUGGGGGGAAGCCUGAUGCAGCAACGCCGCGUGCGGGAUGACGGCCUUCGGGUUGUAAACCGCUUUCGCCUGUGACGAAGCGGGAGUGACGGUAAUGGGUAAAGAAGCACCGGCUAACUACGUG
RNAcentral lists this ribosomal RNA (468 nucleotides) under uncultured bacterium. RNAcentral's name for it is "partial 16S ribosomal RNA". It matches the Rfam family "Bacterial small subunit ribosomal RNA", at positions 28 to 507 of the family's 1533-position model. The record is from RNAcentral.